UACGUAGGUCCCGAGCGUUGUCCGGAUUUAUUGGGCGUAAAGCGAGCGCAGGUGGUUUAUUAAGUCUGGUGUAAAAGGCAGUGGCUCAACCAUUGUAUGCAUUGGAAACUGGUAGACUUGAGUGCAGGAGAGGAGAGUGGAAUUCCAUGUGUAGCGGUAAAAUGCGUAGAUAUAUGGAGGAACACCGGUGGCGAAAGCGGCUCUCUGGCCUGUAACUGACACUGAGGCUCGAAAGCGUGGGGAGCAAACAGG
Molecule: ribosomal RNA, 252 nt
Filed under: uncultured bacterium
Lineage: Bacteria
Description: partial 16S ribosomal RNA
Rfam family: Bacterial small subunit ribosomal RNA
Source: RNAcentral